GCGCUAGUAGUGCAGUCGACGAGCUGAGAGCACAGAGCCAACUUUGAAAAAUGAAAUGUAAAGUGAUUAAGGAUGCUAAAAAGAUACUUACCUGGUCGAUGAGCCACCAGAACCACAUCUUUGUGAGCAAGAAUUGACUUUUGGUCAGUUUUUUUCCGUUUUGUACCUUUUUCAUUGGAUUGAAACAUCUGUAAGAGUGUGGGAGACACCUCUACAGUGGAGACAAGAUGGCGAGCCAGAUCCAUGGACUACAGUUCUAGAACCUUCGUCGUGAUUACAAGUGAAUCCAUUUCCUAUUGGUGAACAUUGCUGCCAGUGCGGUAGGAACAUUGACACUUUUAUCUUCCUCAUCUCAAGCAAGCUUUGGAUUUCCUCAUCUGGAUUCCACUUCAGCAUUUGAUUGGAAGUCAAAUACACUUCUGAACUGAGUAGAAAAGACUGAAAAGUGUAUCACGCUGUGUAUCCUUCAAGGUCUUUGCAAUUUUGUGGUGAAAAGUGGAUCACGCUGUGUAUCCUUCAAGAUCUUUGCAAUUUUGUGGUGAAAGUGUGAUUUGUUUUGAAAUUGAUUUUGGGUUGACUCAUACUUGUAAUUGGUUCUUUCCUAAACAAAGAGUUAACAAAAAUAGAAAUAUCAUUACAGAUUACUUACCUGUUAACCUAACCUGGGAAAAGUACUCACAGAUCGGUCUGAUUGAUAAAAUAACUCAAGUUAAAAUUAGAGACAUUGGAAAAAUAUUCUUUUAUUUACUUUUCAAUUUCCUGGAUCACUUUAUGCUGUUUAUAUUGUAUGUUUUUUCUGAAUUUUCUUGUUAGUAAAUUGCAAAUUUCAACUUCUGGUCUUUGGUCUAUUUAUACAGUCUCAUUCCACUCCUUCUGAACCUGGAUCUGGUCCUGUAGUAUUGUUAGUAUAUCGGUGUAUACAAGUGCUACAUACAAAUUUUUGGCGAGCUAGCCAGGAGUGGAAACAAGGUGUGAAACUAGUAACCAGAGACCAGACUACAUUGUUUACGCUGACUCAAAAUGGAAGUCAUUCAGGCAUCAGGUGUUAAAAUUCCAAAUUCGGUCCUUGUUAGUGGUUUGACAAAUACAGUAGCAGAUGAAGAGCUUUAUAGCUUUUUAAACCAGUAUGGCUCUAUUCAGAGAAAAAUCCCAGUAGACUCAACCCAAAGUCAGACGUGCGGGCUAUCAUAGCAUAUACAUGUGGUACAGCCCUACAGUCACUUUCACCUUUACUGCCAUACAACCUUGUUAGUAAAACUCAAGCAGAUGUUACUUACCAUGUGAGGGCGCUAGCAAGUGUCUAUACACCUGCAGUUAGCCAGUCAGCUACACCUUAUACCUUAUAGAGCUAAAAGACAUUGCAAAGCAGAGUGGCAAAGACUUUGCUGAUGUUCUGAGGCAGGAACUCUCCAGCAUAAGUGAAACUGUUGACCAAGAUAACUCUGAGGACCUAGAGGAUACAGAAGCAAGUGAGGAUGUCAAUGGAAAUGUUUCCGAGAAUCAAGCACAGGUGAGCCCUCAGCCAAGUGCUCCUCCUCCACAUGCUCAUACAUCUACAUCAGAUUCUGGACAGUUGCAACAACCCCCCAAAGACAAAACAAAGUCCAAUUUAGGCCUCACUGCUAUUUGCCCACCUGAACUGCAAAAAGCCGUUGUAGAACACAUCGUUAAAUACGAAGAUUCAGCACAAGCACAGGCUACAAUGAGACUCCGACCCUUCUCUGGACGUGUACCCCGGCCAAACAAUGAAGUGGACUAUGAGACAUGGCGUUCCAAAGCUGACUUUCUGCUGAGAGAUGAGCGACAAUCAGACUUGCAUAAGUCACGAAAGAUUCAGAACUCCUUCUGAUACUUCGCACUGAAGAAGACAAACGCACCUCCAAAGAGUGUCGCAUGAAACAGCAUUUUGGCACCUCGAAGCAGAAAGUGUUCUCACAAGGUGCUUAUAUUCCAUCACCUGAAGAACACAGUACACAGCAAAGUACUGACCAAAGACAAGAGACUAAAUCUGAAAUACAAGACUUAAAGAAACAAAUAUCUGAUCUGCAGUCCCAACUAUCAAAGAUCAAACAGACCAGUAAGACCAAUUCAAAGAAAGCACCAGCCCGAAUUGCCAGAGAGUUCUAAAGUGCGAGCAGCACAAUCUAUCAACCUCAACAAGAACAAUCAAAACCACAAACCCAUACCGUGGUAUUGUUUCAGAUGUGGAGAAGAUGGUCACAUAAAGCUCCAGUGUGAUGCUGAACCCAAUCCCUCUCUUGUAGAUUCUAAAAGGAGACUGUUGCGAGAAAAACAAUCAGAAUGGGAAAAGAAAAAUGGCCUCUUGACUGCUAACCACUUAAACUAGCAACAGCCACUAUUGAGGGACAAAUGGGGGCUGAAACAUCAAAAAUGUGUCCCAAAAGCAGACGACAUGCCUUAUUAGCAAGCUCGCAAUCCAAGCAGCAGCGAGAAAGCCUAACAAAAGGACUCACUCAAGUGAAUCCGUUUCCUAUUGGUGAACAUUGCUGCCAGUGCGGUAGGAACAUUGACUCUUUUAUCUUCCUCAUCUCAACCAAGCUUUGGAUUUCCUCAUCUGGAUUCCACUUCAACAUUUGAUUGGAAGUCACCCUGCGGGCCUGGUGAGCUCAAUGCCCGGCGAGCGAAGCGUCCGUGGCGGAGGCGAGGCAGGAGGGGCGGCCUGCGUGCUAGGCUAAAAGCUGGAGCGACUGGGCCACCGCUACCGGGCCUGUUGCUGGCCAGCUUUGCCGCUUGCCGUGGAGAUUGGACUUCAGCGUCUUGUGGACACAGAGCUUCAGGAUUGUUCUCCCCGAAUCUUACCAGCAUGUAGGCUUUCCCAUGAGGGCAAAUAGCAUCCUGUACCAAGUCUACAGCAACAUGAAAGGUGCUUUGAAGGCUGUUCCAAGACCCCAUUUUGGAAAAGCUAAUGUCUCUUCUGUUGUUGUUGCUUAAUUUAUUGGUAUAUAUGUUUGUUAUGUUCCUAUUCAUUUUCUUGUGUUUUUCUUUUUCUUUUUUUGGAAGAAUGAACACAGCAAGAAUUUCAUUGCAUAGCAGAACUACCAAGUUUUACUGUGCAUAUGACAAUAAAACUCUUGAAAACU
Molecule: long non-coding RNA, 3101 nt
Organism: Dunckerocampus dactyliophorus (ringed pipefish)
Lineage: Eukaryota; Metazoa; Chordata; Actinopteri; Syngnathiformes; Syngnathidae
Exons: 2
Source: RefSeq, a predicted model, not a curated record